This 586-nucleotide ribosomal RNA is filed under the name Clostridioides difficile. RNAcentral describes it as "partial 23S ribosomal RNA". It matches the Rfam family "Bacterial large subunit ribosomal RNA", at positions 1302 to 1898 of the family's 2925-position model. The record is from RNAcentral. Lineage: Bacteria; Bacillati; Bacillota; Clostridia; Peptostreptococcales; Peptostreptococcaceae.
AUGAGUAGCGAGAUGUGGGUGAGAAUCCCACAGGCCGUAAACCCAAGGUUUCCAGGGGAAGGUUCGUCCGCCCUGGGUUAGUCGGGACCUAAGCUGAGGCCGAAAGGCGUAGGUGAUGGACAACAGGUUGAUAUUCCUGUACUACCGAUAACCGUUUGAGAGAAGGGAUGACACAGUAGGAUAAGCUAAGCACACUGUUGGUUAUGUGUGCCCAAGCAUUGAGGCAGUCAAAGUAGGCAAAUCCGCUUUGAUAAUGCUGGGAUGUGAUGGGGAGCGAAAUUUAGUAGCGAAGUAGCUGAUUUCACACUGUCAAGAAAAGUCUCUAUCGAGGUUAAAGGUACCCGUACCGCAAACCGACACAGGUGGGUGAGGAGAGUAUCCUAAGGCCAGCGAGAGAACUGUUGUUAAGGAACUCGGCAAAAUGACCCCGUAACUUAGGGAUAAGGGGUGCCACCAUCAGGUGGCCGCAGAGAAUAGGCCCAAGCGACUGUUUACCAAAAACAUAGGUUUCUGCUAAGUCGCAAGACGAUGUAUAGGAGCUGACGCCUGCCCGGUGCUGGAAGGUUAAGGGGAUCUGUUAGAGCAA